UACGUAGGGUGCAAGCGUUGUCCGGAAUUAUUGGGCGUAAAGAGCUCGUAGGCGGUUUGUCACGUCUGCUGUGAAAACUGGAGGCUCAACCUCCAGCUUGCAGUGGGUACGGGCAGACUAGAGUGCGGUAGGGGAGAUUGGAAUUCCUGGUGUAGCGGUGGAAUGCGCAGAUAUCAGGAGGAACACCGAUGGCGAAGGCAGAUCUCUGGGCCGUAACUGACGCUGAGGAGCGAAAGCGUGGGGGAGCGAACAGG
This 254-nucleotide ribosomal RNA is filed under the name uncultured bacterium. RNAcentral describes it as "partial 16S ribosomal RNA". It matches the Rfam family "Bacterial small subunit ribosomal RNA", at positions 524 to 776 of the family's 1533-position model. The record is from RNAcentral.